GUCGUAACAAGGUUUCCGUAGGUGAACCUGCGGAAGGAUCAUUGUCGAU
RNAcentral lists this ribosomal RNA (49 nucleotides) under Neoapaloxylon madagascariense. RNAcentral describes it as "partial 18S ribosomal RNA". The stretch from base 1 to 44 matches the Rfam family "Eukaryotic small subunit ribosomal RNA", at positions 1788 to 1831 of the family's 1831-position model. The record is from RNAcentral. Lineage: Eukaryota; Viridiplantae; Streptophyta; Magnoliopsida; Fabales; Fabaceae.